CAGAAGCUGGAUCCUUGACAGAAUUAUUGAUGGGAUAGUCCAUCAUCUGGGGCUAAGACCACCUCCAGAUUUCUUGUUUGGUGAAAAUUCCUGAUUGUUUACAUUUGUUUAUUUUGAGCAGUCUCUUACUUGUAGCUAAAAGCAUUUCUAAUAGAUAUUCAAAUUAUCUGCACAGCAAGGGGCAGCCAGAGCUCCAGGGGUUCCAACCUAAAAUAAUCUAUGGAACCGCAGAUAAGUGUCUUAGCUUCUUCAUGAAUUCCUUUGCUCAUCUGUGUAAUGCUCAAUAAAUGUAAAUUGAACCCUGAAUGAGGGACAGUGGCACUAUUGAAGUCAUGAUUGUCAAUCUUAUUAACUGACUAAAUAUUUACAAAAAGGUUGGAACAUUGCCGGACUCACAGUAAGCGGAUGUGGAAGGUGUUGGCAAAUGGACUGAGAAGAAAAGCAGCCAUGUUUGUAGGCUUUCUUUU
Molecule: long non-coding RNA, 467 nt
Filed under: Rattus norvegicus (Norway rat)
Lineage: Eukaryota; Metazoa; Chordata; Mammalia; Rodentia; Muridae
Description: partial Pvt1
Source: RNAcentral